GCCCCCGUAGCUCAGUCGGUAGAGCAGUUGACUCUUAAUCAAUUGGUCGACGGUUCGAAUCCGCCCGGAGGCACCA
This 76-nucleotide transfer RNA is filed under the name Victivallales bacterium. RNAcentral describes it as "tRNA-Lys". It matches the Rfam family "tRNA". Rfam says of the family: Transfer RNA (tRNA) molecules are approximately 80 nucleotides in length. The record is from RNAcentral. RNAcentral also lists the same sequence under 1 other name. Lineage: Bacteria; Pseudomonadati; Lentisphaerota; Lentisphaeria; Victivallales.